UGAUUCGAGUAGGAGGAGUGGGUGAACAUUUCAUCAUUGUUCAGGUAGACGGCCUCGCACACACGCACAUUAUAUCGCAGUUCCCCUCCUUCCCUUUCAUCCAUCUCCAAUCUUUGCUGCCAGAGUCUGCUCCACCAUCUGCUCCAAGAACGCCAAUCACUUGCCUGGAUCUAUACUGGUGACUAACUGACCGGUGAGUAGAUCGGGCUGUGCAAGCUAUCUUUCAGUUCGGUUACCUUGCUGAAGCACCGAUUGAUCAGCGAAUGAUGAUGGCCGACAGCGGAAAGGGAUAGCAGCUUUCCAUAUCACUGGCACCCAAGAUCGAUAGGAGACCAAAGAAAUUGACAUCCAGACUCCAAUCUCUAUGAGCAUAUCCCGGGCCAUUGGGGUCAUUAGUGGCCUCAAUGAAUGUGUCAAUUUGUUUCAGUGGGCUGGAUCUUCUAUUUCAUAUCUGCGCUCCCGGUGGUCCGCAACACAGGAGGAAAGUAUUCAUCAUGAAGUAUUGCACUUGCAGAGUGGCUUAUGUUAGACUGUAUAUGGAUACGUAGACUUGUGUAUACGUGUUGUACUUGUACUUGUACCCUCUGGUACUUAUAUAUAAUGAGAUAGCCGCACCCCCCAAGGGUGUCGAGCAGUUGCC
Molecule: ribosomal RNA, 640 nt
Filed under: Triticum aestivum (bread wheat)
Lineage: Eukaryota; Viridiplantae; Streptophyta; Magnoliopsida; Poales; Poaceae
Description: partial small subunit ribosomal RNA
Source: RNAcentral